UAACGACCAUACCACGCUGAAAGCACCGGUUCUCGUCCGAUCACCGAAGUUAAGCAAAGUCGGGAACGGUCAGUACUUAGAUGGGGGACCGCUU
Molecule: ribosomal RNA, 94 nt
Filed under: Dichotomius semisquamosus
Lineage: Eukaryota; Metazoa; Arthropoda; Insecta; Coleoptera; Scarabaeidae
Source: RNAcentral